AGCAGCCGCGGUAAUUCCAGCUCCAAUAGCGUAUAUUAAAGUUGUUGCAGUUAAAAAGCUCGUAGUUGAAUUUCGAGACCGGUCUACUGGUCGUGCUUUUGUACGUACUGGUAUAAUCGGUUUCUCUCUUCUGACGAACUAUAAUGCCAUUAAUUUGGUGUUUUAGGGAAUCAGGACUGUUACUUUGAAAAAAUUAGAGUGUUUAAAGCAGGCUCACGCUUGAAUACAUUAGCAUGGAAUAACGAAAUAGGACGUUUGAUUUUAUUUUGUUGGUUUCUAGGAUCGACGUAAUGAUUAAUAGGGAUAGUUGGGGGCAUUAGUAUUCAAUUGUCAGAGGUGAAAUUCUUGGAUUUAUUGAAGACUAACUACUGCGAAAGCAUUUGCCAAGGAUGUUUUCAUUAAUCAAGAACGAAAGUUAGGGGAUCGAAGACGAUCAGAUACCGUCGUAGUCUUAACCAUAAACUAUGCCGACUAGGGAUCGGGUGAUGUUAAAUUAAUGACUCAUUCGGCACCUUACGGG
RNAcentral lists this ribosomal RNA (520 nucleotides) under uncultured Glomus. Its description in RNAcentral is "SSU rRNA". It matches the Rfam family "Eukaryotic small subunit ribosomal RNA", at positions 569 to 1094 of the family's 1831-position model. The record is from RNAcentral. Lineage: Eukaryota; Fungi; Glomeromycota; Glomeromycetes; Glomerales; Glomeraceae.